Molecule: ribosomal RNA, 2932 nt
Filed under: Escherichia coli
Lineage: Bacteria; Pseudomonadati; Pseudomonadota; Gammaproteobacteria; Enterobacterales; Enterobacteriaceae
Description: 23S ribosomal RNA
Rfam family: Bacterial large subunit ribosomal RNA
Source: RNAcentral
GGGUUGUGAGGUUAAGCGACUAAGCGUACACGGUGGAUGCCCUGGCAGUCAGAGGCGAUGAAGGACGUGCUAAUCUGCGAUAAGCGUCGGUAAGGUGAUAUGAACCGUUAUAACCGGCGAUUUCCGAAUGGGGAAACCCAGUGUGAUUCGUCACACUAUCAUUAACUGAAUCCAUAGGUUAAUGAGGCGAACCGGGGGAACUGAAACAUCUAAGUACCCCGAGGAAAAGAAAUCAACCGAGAUUCCCCCAGUAGCGGCGAGCGAACGGGGAGGAGCCCAGAGCCUGAAUCAGUGUGUGUGUUAGUGGAAGCGUCUGGAAAGGCGCGCGAUACAGGGUGACAGCCCCGUACACAAAAAUGCACAUGCUGUGAGCUCGAUGAGUAGGGCGGGACACGUGGUAUCCUGUCUGAAUAUGGGGGGACCAUCCUCCAAGGCUAAAUACUCCUGACUGACCGAUAGUGAACCAGUACCGUGAGGGAAAGGCGAAAAGAACCCCGGCGAGGGGAGUGAAAAAGAACCUGAAACCGUGUACGUACAAGCAGUGGGAGCACAGAGCAAUCUGUGUGACUGCGUACCUUUUGUAUAAUGGGUCAGCGACUUAUAUUCUGUAGCAAGGUUAACCGAAUAGGGGAGCCGAAGGGAAACCGAGUCUUAACUGGGCGUUAAGUUGCAGGGUAUAGACCCGAAACCCGGUGAUCUAGCCAUGGGCAGGUUGAAGGUUGGGUAACACUAACUGGAGGACCGAACCGACUAAUGUUGAAAAAUUAGCGGAUGACUUGUGGCUGGGGGUGAAAGGCCAAUCAAACCGGGAGAUAGCUGGUUCUCCCCGAAAGCUAUUUAGGUAGCGCCUCGUGAAUUCAUCUCCGGGGGUAGAGCACUGUUUCGGCAAGGGGGUCAUCCCGACUUACCAACCCGAUGCAAACUGCGAAUACCGGAGAAUGUUAUCACGGGAGACACACGGCGGGUGCUAACGUCCGUCGUGAAGAGGGAAACAACCCAGACCGCCAGCUAAGGUCCCAAAGUCAUGGUUAAGUGGGAAACGAUGUGGGAAGGCCCAGACAGCCAGGAUGUUGGCUUAGAAGCAGCCAUCAUUUAAAGAAAGCGUAAUAGCUCACUGGUCGAGUCGGCCUGCGCGGAAGAUGUAACGGGGCUAAACCAUGCACCGAAGCUGCGGCAGCGACACUAUGUGUUGUUGGGUAGGGGAGCGUUCUGUAAGCCUGUGAAGGUGUACUGUGAGGUAUGCUGGAGGUAUCAGAAGUGCGAAUGCUGACAUAAGUAACGAUAAAGCGGGUGAAAAGCCCGCUCGCCGGAAGACCAAGGGUUCCUGUCCAACGUUAAUCGGGGCAGGGUGAGUCGACCCCUAAGGCGAGGCCGAAAGGCGUAGUCGAUGGGAAACAGGUUAAUAUUCCUGUACUUGGUGUUACUGCGAAGGGGGGACGGAGAAGGCUAUGUUGGCCGGGCGACGGUUGUCCCGGUUUAAGCGUGUAGGCUGGUUUUCCAGGCAAAUCCGGAAAAUCAAGGCUGAGGCGUGAUGACGAGGCACUACGGUGCUGAAGCAACAAAUGCCCUGCUUCCAGGAAAAGCCUCUAAGCAUCAGGUAACAUCAAAUCGUACCCCAAACCGACACAGGUGGUCAGGUAGAGAAUACCAAGGCGCUUGAGAGAACUCGGGUGAAGGAACUAGGCAAAAUGGUGCCGUAACUUCGGGAGAAGGCACGCUGAUAUGUAGGUGAAGUCCCUCGCGGAUGGAGCUGAAAUCAGUCGAAGAUACCAGCUGGCUGCAACUGUUUAUUAAAAACACAGCACUGUGCAAACACGAAAGUGGACGUAUACGGUGUGACGCCUGCCCGGUGCCGGAAGGUUAAUUGAUGGGGUCAGCGCAAGCGAAGCUCUUGAUCGAAGCCCCGGUAAACGGCGGCCGUAACUAUAACGGUCCUAAGGUAGCGAAAUUCCUUGUCGGGUAAGUUCCGACCUGCACGAAUGGCGUAAUGAUGGCCAGGCUGUCUCCACCCGAGACUCAGUGAAAUUGAACUCGCUGUGAAGAUGCAGUGUACCCGCGGCAAGACGGAAAGACCCCGUGAACCUUUACUAUAGCUUGACACUGAACAUUGAGCCUUGAUGUGUAGGAUAGGUGGGAGGCUUUGAAGUGUGGACGCCAGUCUGCAUGGAGCCGGCCUUGAAAUACCACCCUUUAAUGUUUGAUGUUCUAACGUUGACCCGUGAUCCGGGUUGCGGACAGUGUCUGGUGGGUAGUUUGACUGGGGCGGUCUCCUCCUAAAGAGUAACGGAGGAGCACGAAGGUUGGCUAAUCCUGGUCGGACAUCAGGAGGUUAGUGCAAUGGCAUAAGCCAGCUUGACUGCGAGCGUGACGGCGCGAGCAGGUGCGAAAGCAGGUCAUAGUGAUCCGGUGGUUCUGAAUGGAAGGGCCAUCGCUCAACGGAUAAAAGGUACUCCGGGGAUAACAGGCUGAUACCGCCCAAGAGUUCAUAUCGACGGCGGUGUUUGGCACCUCGAUGUCGGCUCAUCACAUCCUGGGGCUGAAGUAGGUCCCAAGGGUAUGGCUGUUCGCCAUUUAAAGUGGUACGCGAGCUGGGUUUAGAACGUCGUGAGACAGUUCGGUCCCUAUCUGCCGUGGGCGCUGGAGAACUGAGGGGGGCUGCUCCUAGUACGAGAGGACCGGAGUGGACGCAUCACUGGUGUUCGGGUUGUCAUGCCAAUGGCACUGCCCGGUAGCUAAAUGCGGAAGAGAUAAGUGCUGAAAGCAUCUAAGCACGAAACUUGCCCCGAGAUGAGUUCUCCCUGACUCCUUGAGAGUCCUGAAGGAACGUUGAAGACGACGACGUUGAUAGGCCGGGUGUGUAAGCGCAGCGAUGCGUUGAGCUAACCGGUACUAAUGAACCGUGAGGCUUAACCUUACAACGCCGAAGGUGUUU